GUGGGGAAUAUUGGACAAUGGGCGAAAGCCUGGUCCAGCCAUGCCGCGUGUGUGAAGAAGGUCUUCGGAUUGUAAAGCACUUUAAGUUGGGAGGAAGGGCAGUAAGUUAAUACCUUGCUGUUUUGACGUUACCGACAGAAUAAGCACCGGCUAACUUCGUGCCAGCAGCCGCGGUAAUACGAAGGGUGCAAGCGUUAAUCGGAAUUACUGGGCGUAAAGCGCGCGUAGGUGGUUUUGUAAGUUGGAGGUGAAAUCCCCGGGCUCAACCUGGGAACUGCCUCCAAAACUGAAUGACUAGAGUACGGUAGAGGGUAGUGGAAUUUCCUGUGUAGCGGUGAAAUGCGUAGAUAUAGGAAGGAACACCAGUGGCGAAGGCGACUACCUGGACUGAUACUGACACUGAGGUGCGAAAGCGUGGGGAGCAAACAGGAUUAGAUACCCCGGUAGUCC
Molecule: ribosomal RNA, 450 nt
Filed under: uncultured bacterium
Lineage: Bacteria
Description: partial 16S ribosomal RNA
Rfam family: Bacterial small subunit ribosomal RNA
Source: RNAcentral